GGGGCAUUUUUCAGGGCUUUCACCCCAAUUGCCUUGCUGAACGCCUCCCUCUUGGUGAGCUGUUUACAUGGAGGUGAAUAGAUUCUGCAGCUGUCUCUUUCUGUGGCCUGGUAACAACCCCAGUGUUGUUCUGGACAAGAAUAUGCUCACUUUCAAAUCGUGGAUUACUCUAUGACAAUAAAAAAAAUUCUGGUUUGCAGUUUGCCAGCCUCUCUUGCCCCAGGGAACAUGCAUAAGUCACAGUCUUGCCCCAUAAGACUAAACUGAACUCUGUGAGCACUGCCCUCCUUUAUGUUUUUGUUAGUCCUGCUCUAAAUGUGGCUGUGAUGGCUAGAGCUGCAACAUUCAUUUUACAACCAUGUUCCUGCAAGCAGAAGAGUGAAGGCAAUAUGCUAAAGACUGAAAAUAAAGAAAGGAUCUGGACUUCAAAGAUGUCAUCAACAGCUGCCAACCUCUAAAUAUUUGAUAUGAAAAAAAUUCUUAUUUAAGGCACUGUUAGUUUGGUUUUUGUGGUAACUUACAAUUGAAUUCAAUCUCAACAGAUAAUUAUAAACAAUCCCAGUAGACACACAUCAACAUGAGAAAGGGGGUUAGGGUUGAGUUGUAGAGAGAGAAAUGCAAGGCUAAAGAGCAAGAGAAUACUUCCUUCUGUGAUCAUACUUUUGGACAAGGUUGCACUUCUGUGUGACAUCUAAACUGUAGGUGUCAUACCAAGGCCGUACAUGGUUUCUAAAGGCCAGCUAAUGAAGCAGCCAUAAACAUCACUUAUCUAGCACACAGAAUUGAUGCUUUAUCCGUUUGACCAUAUGUGACUGGGCACAUGUGUUGGUGUGCAUUUUUACACAAAGCUUUGUAUAGGCCAAGACCUGGGCUACAAGUAAGACAUUUGGGUUCUAUCUCUGGCUAUUCCACUUACUAGAUGAAUAUAUUACUCAGGAUAGGCUAGAUUGUGCUGCAAUAAAACAAUAAGUGUUAAAAAUAAAAUAAAAUAAACAAUCUCCAGGUCUUAGUGGCUUAAAAGAGUAAAAA
Molecule: long non-coding RNA, 1029 nt
Organism: Homo sapiens (human)
Lineage: Eukaryota; Metazoa; Chordata; Mammalia; Primates; Hominidae
Source: Ensembl